GCCAGCCCGCUCAGAACUUAAAUGAAUUGACGGGGCCCGCACAAGCGGUGGAGUAUGUGGUUUAAUCCGAUGCAACGCGAAGAACCUUACCUGGUCUUGACAUCCCGGAGACCCUUAGGAAACUAGGGGUGCUUCCAUCUGGAAGAAUCUGGAGACAGGUGCUGCAUGGCUGUCGUCAGCUCGUGUCGUGAGAUGUUGGGUUAAGUCCCGCAACGAGCGCAACCCUUGCCUUUAGUUGCCAGCAGUUCGGCUGGGCACUCUAAAGGGACUGCCGGUGUUAAACCGGAGGAAGGUGGGGAUGACGUCAAGUCCUCAUGGCCUUUAUGACCAGGGCUACACACGUACUACAAUGGCCGAUACAAAGGGCAGCGACACUGCGAGGUGAAGCCAAUCCCGUAAAAUCGGUCUCAGUCCGGAUUGGAGUCUGCAACUCGACUCCAUGAAGUUGGAAUCGCUAGUAAUCGUGGAUCAGCAUGCCACGGUGAAUACGUUCCCGGGCCUU
This 502-nucleotide ribosomal RNA is filed under the name uncultured Desulfobulbus sp. Its description in RNAcentral is "bacterial SSU rRNA". It matches the Rfam family "Bacterial small subunit ribosomal RNA", at positions 903 to 1382 of the family's 1533-position model. The record is from RNAcentral. Lineage: Bacteria; Pseudomonadati; Thermodesulfobacteriota; Desulfobulbia; Desulfobulbales; Desulfobulbaceae.